GGUUAAGGCCCCUUCGGGGGCGUAUAAAGUGGCGAAAGGGCGAGUAAUGCAUUUCUGACGUGCCUCGAGGUUCGGGAUAGCCCGGGGAAACCCGGAUUAAUACCGAAUAAGCUCCCGAGUUCUGAAUGCUCGGGAGGAAAGGCUUCGGCCACCUUGAGAGCGGGAAAUGUCCUAUCAGGUUGUUGGUGGGGUAACGGCCUACCAAGCCAAAGACGGGUAGCGGGUGUGAGAGCAUGACCCGCCGCAUCGGGACUGAGACACUGCCCGGACUCCUACGGGAGGCUGCAGCGACGAAUAUUCCGCAAUGCGCGAAAGCGUGACGGAGCAAUGCCGCGUGGAGGAUGAAGCCCCUCGGGGUGUAAACUUCUGUCAGGUCCUAGAAAGUUCUGAUCAGGACCAGAGGAAGGGCCGGCUAAGUUCGUGCCAGCAGCCGCGGUAAUACGAACGGCCCGAGCGUUAAUCGGAAUCACUGGGCUUAAAGCGUGCGCAGGCGGACCAGCAAGUACCUUGUGAAAUCCCUCGGCUCAACCGAGGAACUGCUUGGUAUACUGCUGGUCUUGAGCGUGGUAGGGGCGGUCGGAACGAUAGGUGGAGCGGUGAAAUGCGUAGAUAUCUAUCGGAACGCCAAAGGUGAAGACAGGCCGCUGGGCCACUGCUGACGCUCAGGCACGAAAGCGUGGGGAGCGAACGGGAUUAGAUACCCCGGUAGUCCACGCCCUAAACGAUGUGCACUGGAUCAGGGAAGUACUGACGCUUUCCGGAUCGUAGCAAAAGCGUUAAGUGCACCGCCUGGGGAGUACG
RNAcentral lists this ribosomal RNA (801 nucleotides) under uncultured bacterium. RNAcentral describes it as "bacterial SSU rRNA". It matches the Rfam family "Bacterial small subunit ribosomal RNA", at positions 67 to 884 of the family's 1533-position model. The record is from RNAcentral.